UUUGAUCCUGGCUCAGAUUGAACGCUGGCGGCAGGCCUAACACAUGCAAGUCGAGCGGAAACGAUCCUAGCUUGCUAGGAGGCGUCGAGCGGCGGACGGGUGAGUAAUGCAUAGGAAUCUGCCCGGUAGUGGGGGAUAACUUGAGGAAACUCAAGCUAAUACCGCAUACGCCCCAAGGGGGAAAGCAGGGGAUCUUCGGACCUUGCGCUAUCGGAUGAGCCUAUGUCGGAUUAGCUAGUUGGUGAGGUAAUGGCUCACCAAGGCCGCGAUCCGUAGCUGGUCUGAGAGGAUGAUCAGCCACAUCGGGACUGAGACACGGCCCGAACUCCUACGGGAGGCAGCAGUGGGGAAUAUUGGACAAUGGGCGAAAGCCUGAUCCAGCCAUGCCGCGUGUGUGAAGAAGGCCUUCGGGUUGUAAAGCACUUUCAGCGAGGAAGAACGCUUGUGGGUUAAUACCCCGCAAGAAGGAC
Molecule: ribosomal RNA, 470 nt
Filed under: Halomonas halophila
Lineage: Bacteria; Pseudomonadati; Pseudomonadota; Gammaproteobacteria; Oceanospirillales; Halomonadaceae
Description: bacterial SSU rRNA
Rfam family: Bacterial small subunit ribosomal RNA
Source: RNAcentral